AAAAUGAUAGUUAAUUAAGCGAAAAAGUAGACGAUUUCUGGAAAAAAUCGCGCUGUGAGCACUCCUAAUGUCAUCGGUUUUAAUCGCGGCUCUGGAACACCAAUUUCGGGACUCUCGACAGCCCCCAUGGGAAUAUUAUUUUGUCCGGAUGGAUCCUGCAUAAAAUCCGCGCCGCCUGCUCCCUCUCCUUGCAUUCUAGCCUCCAACAACGUCUCCCUCGUCCUUCCCGCAUCCUCCGCACUACGAAGAGGGCCUUCUUGAAGCGUUCGUAGCGCUGUUUCUUCGUCGUUCUCGUGUUCUAAGACCUCGGGUCGGACGAAUACCUGCUUUGGUGACCACCAAUAGAUCGGAUACCGCCGGCGGCCCAGAUUGUUGAUGAUGAGGGCCAAUCCUUGCAUGAUGAGGGCGGAGGCGAGAAUGACAGGCAGGUACCGCCAAGACAAGGAAACGACCAAGGUUUGGACUGCAGCAUUGAAUGCAGUGGCCCCGGACCUGAGGCUUAGGUCAUCAGCGCCUGCGCAUUUUGGAAAUCUGAUAGGUGCUGCACUGACGGUGGAUGGACCAUUCCUGAGAUCAGCAUCGCCAAGGCCGCGGUUGCCAUGCACAGUCCCCCAUUCACAAAAGUGUUGCCAUGAAAGCCUGUAUUAUCCAGAUAAUCUUGGUAACGUGGGUUGAGGACCCAGAGCCUGGUAAUAGCCGUCCCAACCAGAGCCGAAACGAAGUGUCCGCCAAUGAAAUUGCGAGGUUGAGCAAGCGGUGACUCGAUUGCACCGAAAAGAAGGACGGCCGAUGCGCCGAAGGAAGUGAUGAUGAUAGGGGAGGAGUACACAUUGCGAAAAGCUGUGUUGGUGCACAUGAUGGCUUCAAUGAGGAGGAUCCCUCCAAAGCAGCCUAUCCAAGCGAAUAUCAUCCAUACCUCGACCCUCAAAGGAAUCUUGACCAACCAGUUAAAAGGCGGGAACGGUAGAGGAUCAUAAGGCGGCUCAUCGCCGGGCUGACGGUAGCCUGUGAAACGCGAGAUCCAUCGGGGAAGCCGCCCCCGAUAAUCAUCUCGUAGAAGAAAGCGUUCGUAGCGAUGGCGGCGAGAUGGACGACUGUAGAUUGAGAAGACACGGAGCCAGACAGUGGGGCCUCGAAGUCGGGAAAAAAUGGGAAAAUGAGGGGUUGCAGCGACGGGACGAAGAUGAAGAGGAACCGGGCGACGGAAAUAAUGGGGAAGCAAAGGGGGCAAGAUGUGCGAGCCGGCGACGUCAUUGUCCUUUUUUGGGAUGUAGAAUCGAGAACGAAUUGCAAACUACUCACGAACGCUAAAUAACGGCUGACGUACCCGUGCAUCACCCUAACAGCUGGGGGCGAGAAUCAAAAGCAUGGUGCCCGAUAAGCGCUGUGGUGGAGAUUUUUUGUAUGCAGACAGACGGGCAGGACGGAGGGUAAUCGCCGCUGAUGUAUAUAAAUAGCGCAUGAAUAUUUUUGAUCCGAUCUAACAGCCGGGAGAGCACUAGCUUAUGACACUAUAAGCCCUACUAAGCUCUGUAAAAUCAUAUACAUACCCGGCUUGCAGGCGGCGCGACUCGAACCUGGAUAGUUUCCUUCAUAGUUUUUCACUGUGAGAAUUCGGCGCAUGGCGGAGAGGGGGUCGAGAAUGCCAUGGGAGGAGAGUAGGGUGGUGCAGGGGUGGGUAGAUAAGGUGAGGAAGGAAGGGCCGACCACGACUGCCAUGCUGGUGGGGACUGCUGGACAAUAGAUUGGGAAGUGGCUAGUGAUAAGUGAUAAAGAUCCUUGUCAAAUAGAUUAGAUUAAAAAGUAGAAAGCGAAA
RNAcentral lists this small RNA (1816 nucleotides) under Cryptococcus neoformans H99. Its description in RNAcentral is "Cryptococcus neoformans var. grubii H99 hypothetical RNA". Lineage: Eukaryota; Fungi; Basidiomycota; Tremellomycetes; Tremellales; Cryptococcaceae. The record is from RNAcentral.